This 1237-nucleotide ribosomal RNA is filed under the name Utterbackia peninsularis (peninsular floater). RNAcentral describes it as "16S ribosomal RNA". The record is from RNAcentral. Lineage: Eukaryota; Metazoa; Mollusca; Bivalvia; Unionida; Unionidae.
GCCGCAACUAAACUUCUUAUUAAAAUUUAGAGAAAAUUCUCAACUCAAAAAGUAUUUUGUAAAAAAUAACCUAUCUUAAUUAACCGCAAGGACUAUUACUCAGCUUUAUCAAGAAAUGAUAAUAUCAUGUCCCUCUUGCAUCAUGGAGAAGCAACAAAAAUACAUUAAUAUAUACUCCCGAAUAACCAUGAGCUACUAAUCCCUAAAAUCCAAUGUUUCAUAAUUGGUAAAGUAACUUUUAGUAGGAGUAACAAGCCUUUCAUAUGGUUAUAUAGCUGGUUUUUCUUUAAAAGCAUCAAAGUGCUGGCUUAUAGUAUAGCUUUAGCAUCACAUUCUAUAAAGCUUAGCCUGUUGAGGACUAGCUCAACAAGAGCUAUAAAAUAUCUUAUCCUUCAGCCCCAUUAGUAGGCUUAAAAGCAGCCACCCAAUAGCGUUCUAGCUAAUGUAAGUGCCUUAUUAAAUAUUCACAUCACCCAUUUUAAAACUAAAGAAAUCUGAAAAAAAAUUUUUUUUCACCAAACAGGCAUUCUAUUAGUAUUUAAUGUAAAGUAUUACUCAACACUUUUAAAAAUUUUGAGCCAAAAACCUUUAUCCCCUAAAAUAUACAAAGCGAACUCGGCAAAUAAGUUCCCUGCCUGUUUACCAAAAACAUCGUUUUCUGAAAAUCCACUAUAGAAAAUAAUGCCUGCCCAGUGAAGUUUAAACGGCCGCGUUAGCGUGAGCGUGCUAAGGUAGCGUAAUAAUUAGCCCUUUAAUUGGAGGCCAGUGAAUGGCAAGACUAGGAACACCUUUACUCUGUAUAUAAGAAAAACUUUUCGUCUAAGUGAAAAGACUUAGAUAAUAAAGGUAGACGAAAAGACCCCGCGGAGCUUUACCUUUUCAUAUAUAAGUGUGUACUUACUCCAAGUAUAUAAGGUUUGAUUGGGGCAAUCUUGGAACCAAUAAAGCUUCCAAUUUGUUAACAAAACUUAUUUAAAACUUAAUAAGGACCAAAAGAAGUUACCCCGGGGAAACAGCGUAUCCACUUAAGAUACUAUCGAAGAAUAUCCACAUAAGUGCAACCGCUAUGACAGGAUAGUCUGUUCGACUAUUAUACCCUUACACGAGCUGAGUUAAGACCGGCGCAAGCUAGGUUGGUUUCUAUCUCCUUUAAACCAAAGAUCUUCUUGAUUGUACGAAAGGACCCCAAGAGAUGCACACCAGAAGCAUCUUUAUCAAUCACCUCAUAUUUUUCCAC